UUUUCGUAGGUGAACCUGCGGAAGGAUCAUUAGUGAAUUCAAUAAGGCCGUGGGUUGGCUUUGCAAAAGGCUUCAGCCCGGCCGAACCACUAUUUUCACACACUUGUGCAUCUGUUCAUUAACUCAAUUGACCUCACCGUCGAUUGAUUAAUACACAAAACUCUUGUGCAUCGUCACAAACAGUUUACAGAAAACAAAUUUUGAUAAACGAAAGAAAAACUUUCAGCAAUGGAUCUCUUGGCUCUCGCAUCGAUGAAGAACGCAGC
This 266-nucleotide unclassified non-coding RNA is filed under the name uncultured fungus. Its description in RNAcentral is "sequence contains ITS1, 5.8S rRNA gene". The stretch from base 218 to 266 matches the Rfam family "5.8S ribosomal RNA", at positions 1 to 49 of the family's 154-position model. Lineage: Eukaryota; Fungi. The record is from RNAcentral.